GUGGGGAAUAUUGGGCAAUGGGCGAAAGCCUGACCCAGCAACGCCGCGUGAAGGAAGAAGGUUUUCGGAUUGUAAACUUCUGUCCUCAGGGAAGAAGGAAGUGACGGUACCUGAGGAGGAAGCCCCGGCUAACUACGUGCCAGCAGCCGCGGUAAUACGUAGGGGGCGAGCGUUGUCCGGAAUGACUGGGCGUAAGGGGCGCGUAGACGGCUGUCUAAGUCUGGAGUGAAAGUCCUGCUUUCAAGGUGGGAAUUGCUUAGGAGACUGGAUGGCUUGAGUGCGGAAGAGGUAAGUGGAAUUCCCAGUGUAGCGGUGAAAUGCGUAGAGAUUGGGAGGAACACCAGUGGCGAAGGCGACUUACUGGGCCGUAACUGACGUUGAUGCGCGAAAGCGUGGGGAGCGAACAGGAUUAGAUACCCCAGUAGUCC
This 428-nucleotide ribosomal RNA is filed under the name uncultured bacterium. Its description in RNAcentral is "partial 16S ribosomal RNA". It matches the Rfam family "Bacterial small subunit ribosomal RNA", at positions 354 to 796 of the family's 1533-position model. The record is from RNAcentral.